Molecule: non-coding RNA, 238 nt
Filed under: Gongylonema pulchrum
Lineage: Eukaryota; Metazoa; Nematoda; Chromadorea; Rhabditida; Gongylonematidae
Description: Eukaryotic large subunit ribosomal RNA
Rfam family: Eukaryotic large subunit ribosomal RNA
Source: Rfam by way of RNAcentral
UUCAAGUGAGAUCCUUGAAAACUGGAGUGAAGAAGAGUUCCACGUGAACAGCAGUUGAGUAUGGGUUAGUCGAUCCUAAAAUAUCGGCCAACGCCGUUGCCUGUUAUUGAGAACAGGAGUUCAAAUCCAUCUCGGCAAUCAAAAGGGAAACUGAUUAAUCGCGCAGUGAAAAGUAAUAUUAUUGUCUCGCAGUAGAACGGUGGUUCGAUUCCGCCUAUGAGAAAACCAAUCUCUGUAC